UUUGGCAAAUCCGGAAAAUCAAGGCUGAGGCGUGAUGACGAGGCACUACGGUGCUGAAGCAACAAAUGCCCUGCUUCCAGGAAAAGCCUCUAAGCAUCAGGUAACAUCAAACCGUACCCCAAACCGACACAGGUGGUCAGGUAGAGAAUACCAAGGCGCUUGAGAGAACUCGGGUGAAGGAACUAGGCAAAAUGGUGCCGUAACUUCGGGAGAAGGCACGCUGAUAUGUAGGUGAGGUCCCUCGCGGAUGGAGCUGAAAUCAGUCGAAGAUACCAGCUGGCUGCAACUGUUUAUUAAAAACACAGCACUGUGCAAACACGAAAGUGGACGUAUACGGUGUGACGCCUGCCCGGUGCCGGAAGGUUAAUUGAUGGGGUUAGCGCAAGCGAAGCUCUUGAUCGAAGCCCCGGUAAACGGCGGCCGUAACGAUAACGGUCCUAAGGUAGCGAAAUUCCUUGUCGGGUAAGUUCCGACCUGCACGAAUGGCGUAAUGAUGGCCAGGCUGUCUCCACCCGAGACUCAGUGAAAUUGAACUCGCUGUGAAGAUGCAGUGUACCCGCGGCAAGACGGAAAGACCCCGUGAACCUUUACUAUAGCUUGACACUGAACAUUGAGCCUUGAUGUGUAGGAUAGGUGGGAGGCUUUGAAGUGUGGACGCCAGUCUGCAUGGAGCCGACCUUGAAAUACCACCCUUUAAUGUUUGAUGUUCUAACGUUGACCCGUAAUCCGGGUUGCGGACAGUGUCUGGUGGGUAGUUUGACUGGGGCGGUCUCCUCCUAAAGAGUAACGGAGGAGCACGAAGGUUGGCUAAUCCUGGUCGGACAUCAGGAGGUUAGUGCAAUGGCAUAAGCCAGCUUGACUGCGAGCGUGACGGCGCGAGCAGGUGCGAAAGCAGGUCAUAGUGAUCCGGUGGUUCUGAAUGGAAGGGCCAUCGCUCAACGGAUAAAAGGUACUCCGGGGAUAACAGGCUGAUACCGCCCAAGAGUUCAUAUCGACGGCGGUGUUUGGCACCUCGAUGUCGGCUCAUCACAUCCUGGGGCUGAAGUAGGUCCCAAGGGUAUGGCUGUUCGCCAUUUAAAGUGGUACGCGAGCUGGGUUUAGAACGUCGUGAGACAGUUCGGUCCCUAUCUGCCGUGGGCGCUGGAGAACUGAGGGGGGCUGCUCCUAGUACGAGAGGACCGGAGUGGACGCAUCACUGGUGUUCGGGUUGUCAUGCCAAUGGCACUGCCCGGUAGCUAAAUGCGGAAGAGAUAAGUGCUGAAAGCAUCUAAGCACGAAACUUGCCCCGAGAUGAGUUCUCCCUGACCCUUUAAGGGUCCUGAAGGAACGUUGAAGACGACGACGUUGAUAGGCCGGGUGUGUAAGCGCAGCGAUGCGUUGAGCUAACCGGUACUAAUGAACCGU
Molecule: ribosomal RNA, 1404 nt
Filed under: metagenome
Description: bacterial LSU rRNA
Rfam family: Bacterial large subunit ribosomal RNA
Source: RNAcentral